This is a non-coding RNA of Armillaria nabsnona, 91 nucleotides long. The record is from the annotation of a GenBank genome assembly. Lineage: Eukaryota; Fungi; Basidiomycota; Agaricomycetes; Agaricales; Physalacriaceae.
AGCAGCAUGGCGCAGUGGUAGCGCGCGGGGCCCAUAUGCAGUGUUAAGUUGCGCAACCCCGAGGUCACUUGAUCGAAACAAGUUGCUGCUA